This is a long non-coding RNA of Ictidomys tridecemlineatus (thirteen-lined ground squirrel), 1988 nucleotides long. The record is from Ensembl. Lineage: Eukaryota; Metazoa; Chordata; Mammalia; Rodentia; Sciuridae.
AGGGGGUUUUACGUUCAUAAUGGUAGUAAUAUGAUUAAUUGCCCCUAGGAUGGAUGAAACACCUGCCCAGUGGAGUGAGAAAAUAGUGAGAUCUGCAGAGGCGCCUGCGUGUGCAAGCUUCCCAGCUAGUGAGGGAUAUACUGCUCAACCGGUUCCUGGGCCUGCUUCAACUAUAGAGGAGGCAAGAAGGAGAAGAAAUGUUGGAGAGCUGCAACAGUGAGACACCUUCAGUCCUCAGACGUUCAAGACCUGUAGCUUCUUGAUAGUGCACCAAAGAUGCCAGUGUGGGAGUGGACUGAAGCCAUCCAGCUCCUAGGGAAACAAUUUCCUGGACAUCUUUCCCUGUGGGCACAGACAGACCCAUUGCACCAGUUAUCCAAUAUUUUAUGUAGCAGAUUUAUCCAGCCAAAUUCCUUCUGAUUGUUAGUGAGGGCUCCAGUUUCUUGCUGUUCCAACUUGUGCUAUGAAGGAGAGUCUUGCAAAGAAAUCUUGAAAAAUGGUGCAAAUCCACAGGUGGAAUAAUUCUUGGCAUUAGCCGUGGCUUCCGAGUGGUACAACUGGUCCUCCUAACCCAUCCAGUCCACUACUGCCACCUCAAACUCUCUUCAGAGAAAUGGGAUCCUUCUGCUGUUCUGCUGGCACUACAAAACACCAGGCAUGACUUCUACCACCCACCCCAGGCUUCGGGGAUCAGUCUCUUUGCUGUGAAAGGCCCUGACUAUGGAGUACCCUCUGCUCCCAUACCCACAGUGUGGCCCAGCUCCUUCUCAGGGGUUCCCAGCCCCGCCUCUUCCUCCAACAAUUUGGUGAUGAUGUUCCUGCUCCACCUCUCCUUGAUGAGACCCUGUAGACAGCAUGUGUGGCAGCUAGCAGUGAGAACCAGGCCCUGCUUGGACUGUUUUUCAGAUUGUUUCUGCCCUUGUGACCUUCAGUUUCCCAAUAAUCAUACAGACCCUGUGUCUGAUAUUUCUACCCUGGGAUGACAGUAUAUGACACCAAGGACCCAGGAUAAAGCCUAGAAAUUCCCAUUUCCCACCUCCAACCCUGUCCUGCGAUGACCAUGAUAGGACAUCAAACUCACCAUCUCCAACUAGCUGCUCCUACCUCAGGUUCUAAUUCCUCCAAACUCAGGAGGAAGGUGUGCAGGGGUACUCAUGAUGGUAUCUGUUCUGUGUAUUGCUGCGCCCCUCCCCUGACUCAGGCAAUGGCAAGGCCCUACUGAGGUGGAUGGAGCAAGGCGUCCAUCCUCUGGAGGAGCGCAGUAUGUUUCUGGGAAUGGGCUGAUUUGUUUUUGUAUUCCUUUAAUAAGUAUGGUUUGGAUUUCUCAUAUGACCAUUAAGUAUAAAGGAAAAAUCAUGACUUUCCCAAUUAAUGUAACUACUUCUAAAGCAUAGAUCUGUUUGCUCUAAAUGCAAUGAUUCAGCUGUGGAGUGUAAAUUGUUAAUGUCUACAGAAAAACUCCCUGUAUUCCUGUCAAGGAAGUUUUUGAGAAAUUAAAUUAAAAUCUAGAGAAGAAAAAUUAAUGUUAAGAAGAUAGAUUAGUGCUUAGUACUGGGCAACUUGUUCUUGUUCCUGUGCACAAUGGUUUGUGCUCUUACUUUUGUUUGAUUAAAAAUAAUAACAAGUCAACCCCUUGCCGUAACCAUGGCACCGGUUCCAGUCAGUAAGUCAAGAAAGAAUAGUCAAGGUAUAGGCCAAUAGUUUGGGACAUUUGUAACUAUUAUUAAAAGUUAACUAAGCAGAAACUGCUCAAAGCAAAACGCGAACUGAAAGUACAAAUGCUUGCUUAUGCAUAAGCCAAGAUACAUUCUUCUAUUCUAAUUGUAGCUAUGUAAUAUUUUGUUUUGUUUGAAUAAUGAUUCCUGUUUUGUAACCACAAAGUACUGUAAGCCUGCCAAAAUGAAAAGUAUAUAUGAUCAACUUCACAAGUAAAGAUUGGGAUCAACACCUUCACUUUGGUGUCUGUGUUGUUUCUCCACCCCCUCUUU